CCUACGGGAUGCAGCAGUGAGGAAUAUUGGUCAAUGGGCGCGAGCCUGAACCAGCCAAGUAGCGUGAAGGAUGACUGCCCUACGGGUUGUAAACUUCUUUUAUAAAGGGAUAAAGUGAGGCAUGUGUGCCUUUUUGUAUGUACUUUAUGAAUAAGGAUCGGCUAACUCCGUGCCAGCAGCCGCGGUAAUACGGAGGAUCCGAGCGUUAUCCGGAUUUAUUGGGUUUAAAGGGAGCGUAGAUGGGUUGUUAAGUCAGUUGUGAAAGUUUGCGGCUCAACCGUAAAAUUGCAAUUGAUACUGGCAGCCUUGAGUACAGUUGAGGUAGGCGGAAUUCGUGGUGUAGCGGUGAAAUGCUUAGAUAUCACGAAGAACACCGAUUGCGAAGGCAGCUUACUAAACUGCAACUGACAUUGAUGCUCGAAAGUGUGGGUAUCAAACAGGAUUAGAUACCCUGGUAGUC
This 460-nucleotide ribosomal RNA is filed under the name uncultured bacterium. Its description in RNAcentral is "partial 16S ribosomal RNA". It matches the Rfam family "Bacterial small subunit ribosomal RNA", at positions 338 to 795 of the family's 1533-position model. The record is from RNAcentral.